RNAcentral lists this small RNA (148 nucleotides) under uncultured Dysosmobacter sp. RNAcentral's name for it is "M-box riboswitch (ykoK leader)". It matches the Rfam family "M-box riboswitch aptamer (ykoK leader)", at positions 11 to 156 of the family's 169-position model. From Rfam's summary of the family: M-box riboswitch, also know as ykoK leader is described as a metaloregulatory RNA that sense divalent metals and function as a genetic control element of genes related to divalent metal transport in bacteria. Lineage: Bacteria; Bacillati; Bacillota; Clostridia; Eubacteriales; Oscillospiraceae. The record is from RNAcentral.
UGUCCGGUAGGUAAGGCUACCACAGAGGAUAUGGGUUGCUGCCGCAGAGUGAUGGAGACAUCAUGAGAGGGUUUGAGCAGGUGAUAUCGAACGCAAGGUAUCAUCUAAUGCAACUGCACCGCCCUGUGAUGCUAAAGCUUGAACGGUG